AACGACUCUCAGCAACAAAUAUCUCAGCUCUCGCAUCGAUGAAGAACGUAGUGAAAUGCGAUAAUUGGUGUGAAUUGUAGGAUCCCACGAACCACCGAGUCUUUGAACGCACGUUGCGCUCAGAACCUUCUAGCUGAGGGCACGUCUGCCUGGGCGUC
RNAcentral lists this ribosomal RNA (158 nucleotides) under Bryonia marmorata. RNAcentral's name for it is "5.8S ribosomal RNA". It matches the Rfam family "5.8S ribosomal RNA". From Rfam's summary of the family: 5.8S ribosomal RNA (5.8S rRNA) is a component of the large subunit of the eukaryotic ribosome. It is transcribed by RNA polymerase I as part of the 45S precursor that also contains 18S and 28S rRNA. The record is from RNAcentral. Lineage: Eukaryota; Viridiplantae; Streptophyta; Magnoliopsida; Cucurbitales; Cucurbitaceae.